UGAACCAGUAAGGAAAACUCUUCAGAGGGAAUUUAUUUCUUCCUAGGUAUGGUGAAUACAUUUACAUCUCUAUCAAUGAAUGAAAUGUCAUGGGAUAAUAGAUUUAGAUCUGGAAGGCAUUUCUAGAAGUUAUCUAGAAGAGCAAUCAAGUGAGCAGCUUUCAUCCUGAACCUGUCAUAUGCCUAAACUAGAGAUAACUUGAUGGAUGACAAAUGGAAAUGGCUAAUCUCUCAAGGGUUGGAGCAGAGGUGACCCAGCCUAGGCAGUCCUGGAUCCUGCCUACCCCUCCCCAAAACUAGGCAGAUGGUGAUGUAUAAUCCUCCUAUUCUCUGCAAAGGUGCCCAGAUCUUAGACUGUAACUAGCCAUGCAACCCAUGAAAUGUGUCUAUAUAUAUUUAGACAGUACCUACCCACAUAUACAUGUAUAAAUAUCUUACAUCUAAAAAAAAGCCUUUGUUAAAAUUUCAUACAUCACAGCUAAUUUACUAAUGACCAACUCUUGCAUUUCUUUUUAAAAGAACACAGUACAGAGCAAGCUCUGCAAAAAUGUGAACAAAAAACUAUUUUCCUGACUAGAAUCAUAAAAUCAUAGAACAUCAGAGCUAGGAGAGGCCUUGAAGAUUAUCUAAUGUCACUUUUUCACUUCAUAGAUUAGCAAACUUCUGGAGAAAGCAAAGUGACUUCUAGCUCUAUAAAAUAACAAAGUAGGGAGUGGUCACCAAAACUAGGUCCUGACUUCCAAUCCAGUAUUCUUUCCAUGCACAUAGCCAUGUUCUGAAGGUUAUGAAACACCAUUUAAUCACACCGUUUGUAAUUCUACUUUAAAGAGCAACUUUUAAUUCUUUUCCCUUGACUUAAAGGGCUUUUGUACCAUCCAAGGCAGCCAUUUCAGCCUGAUUUACAGUCUAGCCUGGUUCUUCCACUCAUGGGAUUUUAAGGAAUAUGUCGAAUUAAAUGGCCUUAAAUGCCCUGCUUAUAACUUACCUUAGAGAUAGAUAAGUAGAACAAUAGAGAGAGAUAAAUGAUAGAUAAUACACAAUAAUAGCUUAGAUAAAUAAUGGAUAGAUAAAUGAUAGAGAUCAAUAGAUUGAUAGAAAAAUGAUGGAUAGAUGAAAAGAGAGAUAGAUGAUAAAAUAUUUACUAGAGCUUUCUAAGUGCCAGUCACUACA
Molecule: long non-coding RNA, 1169 nt
Filed under: Monodelphis domestica (gray short-tailed opossum)
Lineage: Eukaryota; Metazoa; Chordata; Mammalia; Didelphimorphia; Didelphidae
Description: lncRNA (ENSMODG00000043603.1)
Source: RNAcentral